AACGAACGCUGGCGGCACGCCUAACACAUGCAAGGCGAGCGCACCUUCGGGUGAGCGGCGGACGGGUUAGUAACGCGUGGGAACAUACCCUUUUCUACGGAAUAGCCUCGGGAAACUGAGAGUAAUACCGUAUACGCCCUUCGGGGGAAAGAUUUAUCGGGGAAGGAUUGGCCCGCGUCUGAUUAGAUAGUUGGUGGGGUAAUGGCCUACCAAGUCGACGAUCAGUAGCUGGUUUGAGAGGAUGAUCAGCAACACUGGGACUGAGACACGGCCCAGACUCCUACGGGAGGCAGCAGUGGGGAAUCUUAGACAAUGGGCGAAAGCCUGAUCUAGCGAUGCCCGCGUGAGUGAUGAAGGCCUUAGGGUCGUAAAGCUCUUUCGCCAGGGAUGAUAAUGACAGGACCUGGUAAAGAAACCCCGGCUAACUCCGUGCCAGCAGCCGCGGCAAUACGGAGGGGGUUAGCGUUGAUCGGAAUUACUGGGCGUAAAGCG
Molecule: ribosomal RNA, 492 nt
Filed under: uncultured Pseudomonadota bacterium
Lineage: Bacteria; Pseudomonadati; Pseudomonadota
Description: bacterial SSU rRNA
Rfam family: Bacterial small subunit ribosomal RNA
Source: RNAcentral